This is a long non-coding RNA of Fukomys damarensis (Damara mole-rat), 239 nucleotides long. RefSeq lists it as uncharacterized. The transcript is spliced from 3 exons. The record is from RefSeq and is a predicted model, not a curated record. Lineage: Eukaryota; Metazoa; Chordata; Mammalia; Rodentia; Bathyergidae.
AGUAGCUAUGCCAUCUGAACAAGCUUGUAAAUAGAUUUUCCUCCGUGUCUACGAGAAGCUGAAUCAGCCUUUCCUGAUUGUGUGGAGCCAAAGAGAAACACUGAGAGUUGAGGCUGUGGCCAUUCCAAGAUCUGUCUGUCCACUCCAGACCUCUGCACAAAUUUAUGGUGUUGGCCACAGAGAGCACCAAGACUGAGAAGAAGAGGUGAAAACACAGAGGCCCCACCUCAGGAUGGAAG